Molecule: ribosomal RNA, 147 nt
Filed under: Gyrodactylus gobii
Lineage: Eukaryota; Metazoa; Platyhelminthes; Monogenea; Gyrodactylidea; Gyrodactylidae
Description: 5.8S ribosomal RNA
Rfam family: 5.8S ribosomal RNA
About the family: 5.8S ribosomal RNA (5.8S rRNA) is a component of the large subunit of the eukaryotic ribosome. It is transcribed by RNA polymerase I as part of the 45S precursor that also contains 18S and 28S rRNA. Functionally, it is thought that 5.8S rRNA may be involved in ribosome translocation.
Source: RNAcentral
CACUCCAUGUGUGAUCACUCGUUUACGUGACGAUGARAGUGCACAACUGUGUACCAAAUUGUGAACGCAAACUGUUCGAUCAUCGGUCUCUCGAACGCAAAUGCGGCUAAGGGCUUGCUCUUAGCCACGUUCGAUCGAGUGUCGGCU